Molecule: ribosomal RNA, 238 nt
Filed under: uncultured bacterium
Lineage: Bacteria
Description: partial 16S ribosomal RNA
Rfam family: Bacterial small subunit ribosomal RNA
Source: RNAcentral
AGCGAACGCUGGCGGCGUGCUUAACACAUGCAAGUCGAGUGCGCGCCUGUAGCAAUACAGGUGGCGCACGGCGCACGGGUGCGUAACACGUGGGUAAUCUGCCCUUCGAUGGGGAAGUAACCUCGCGAAAGACGAGGCUAAUUCCGCAUAACAAUUCCGAUGGUUCCGAUCAAUGGACUCAAAGACCGUAAGGCGUCGGAGGAGGAGCCCGCGCACGAUUAGCAGUUGGUGAGGUAAC